Molecule: ribosomal RNA, 460 nt
Filed under: uncultured bacterium
Lineage: Bacteria
Description: partial 16S ribosomal RNA
Rfam family: Bacterial small subunit ribosomal RNA
Source: RNAcentral
CCUACGGGAGGCAGCAGUGAGGAAUAUUGGUCAAUGGACGAGAGUCUGAACCAGCCAAGUAGCGUGAAGGAUGACUGCCCUAUGGGUUGUAAACUUCUUUUAAAUGGGAAUAAAAUGUUCCACGUGUGGGGUUUUGUAUGUACCAUAUGAAUAAGGAUCGGCUAACUCCGUGCCAGCAGCCGCGGUAAUACGGAGGAUCCGAGCGGUAUCCGGAUUUAUUGGGUUUAAAGGGUGCGUAGGGGGUUUGUUAAGUCAGUGGUGAAAGUUUGGGGCUCAACCGUAAAAUUGCCGUUGAAACUGGCAGUCUUGAGUACAGUAGAGGUAGGCGGAAUGCGUGGUGUAGCGGUGAAAUGCUUAGAUAUCACGAAGAACUCCGAUUGCGAAGGCAGCUCACUGGACUGCAACUGACACUGAGGCUCGAAAGUGUGGGUAUCAAACAGGAUUAGAUACCCUUGUAGUC